Pelobates cultripes (western spadefoot toad) is the source of this 1028-nucleotide non-coding RNA. The record is from the annotation of a GenBank genome assembly. NCBI's taxonomy places the organism in Eukaryota, Metazoa, Chordata, Amphibia, Anura, Pelobatidae.
GAUAAAGAUCCCUGUUAUAAGUUCCCACUUCCCAUAUAAUAAAAUCCUAUCUGACCUGUCAGCUGAGUGAUGUUCAUUCCCUCCUUGCAUGUGAGUGUGGAGGAAUCAGGGUUAUUCUCUGGAUGCCUCUUGUGCCAGGCUUGGGAUGUCCAGUGUUUAAAUCCUGUAUGCACCUCGUAGAGUCCUACUCCAGUCCUGUUAUGAGUGAAUUAAAUUCUCUGUUAGUCCUGGGGUACGGCCUUAAAGGGGAGUCCUCAGUAUCGGAGUUGGGGGUGCAGCCUUGGUAGGUCCCUGGAUCUCAGAGUUGGGGGUGCAGCCUUGGUAGGUCCCUGGGUCUCAGAUUUCGGGGUGCAGCCUCGGUAGGUCCCUGGGUCUCAGAUUUCGGGGUGCAGCCUCUGUCCAAAAUUUCGGAGUGCAGCCUUGGUUGGUUCCUAGGUCUCAGAUUUCGGGGUGCAGCCUUGGUAGGUUCCUGGGUCUCAGGGUUGGGGGUGCAGCCUUGGUAGGUUCCUGGGUCUCAGAGUUGGGGGUGCAGCCUUGGCAGGUUCCUGGGUCUCAGAUUUCGGGGUGCAGCCUUGGCAGGUUCCCGGGUCUCAGAUUUCGGGGUGCAGCCUUGGCAGGUUCCCGGGUCUCAGAUUUCGGGGUGCAGCCUUGGCAGGUUCCUGGGUCUCAGAGUUGGGGGUGCAGCCUUGGUAGGUCCCUGGGUCUCAGAGUUGCAGUGCCAGUCCUGGGGGUGCAGACUCUGGGUGGCUGGCAGUAUUGGGUUAAAGCUUUGCAGGGUUAGUUCUGGGGUGCAGGCUCGGGCUGGCUGGCAGUAGUGGGAUGUAGCUGUGCAGUGCCAGUCCUGGGUUAGUCAGUGUUGUGUCUCCUGGUGUGUAGAGCAGGUUGGCACACCAUUCCCUAUGACUGCCUUCAGUUUGAAAAGUAAAACCCGCCCAGAGCCUCCCCCCUCCCUGCUCUGCUAACUCCCAGUCCUCUCCCAAAUCCACCCUCCAGUAGCUCUUUCCUCACCCCUACAGCUCCCUCUCUCA